RNAcentral lists this ribosomal RNA (470 nucleotides) under uncultured bacterium. RNAcentral's name for it is "bacterial SSU rRNA". It matches the Rfam family "Bacterial small subunit ribosomal RNA", at positions 335 to 796 of the family's 1533-position model. The record is from RNAcentral.
ACUCCUACGGGAGGCAGCAGUGGGGAAUAUUGCGCAAUGGGCGAAAGCCUGACGCAGCAACGCCGCGUGAGUGAUGAAGGUUUUCGGAUCGUAAAGCUCUGUCGGCAGGGAAGAACACCUUGUGGGGUAAUACUCCAUGAGGCUGACGGUACCUGCAAAGGAAGCACCGGCUAACUCUGUGCCAGCAGCCGCGGUAAUACAGAGGGUGCAAGCGUUGUUCGGAAUUACUGGGCGUAAAGGGCGCGUAGGCGGUCUGUUAAGUCUGAUGUGAAAGCCCUCGGCUCAACCGAGGAAGUGCAUUGGAUACUGGCAGACUAGAGUAUGAGAGGGGAAAGUGGAAUUCCAGGUGUAGCGGUGAAAUGCGUAGAUAUCUGGAGGAACACCGGUGGCGAAGGCGGCUUUCUGGAUCAUUACUGACGCUGAGGCGCGAAAGCGUGGGGAGCAAACAGGAUUAGAAACCCUAGUAGUCC